This 590-nucleotide ribosomal RNA is filed under the name Pedobacter sp. BvIRHM011. Its description in RNAcentral is "bacterial SSU rRNA". It matches the Rfam family "Bacterial small subunit ribosomal RNA", at positions 102 to 690 of the family's 1533-position model. The record is from RNAcentral. Lineage: Bacteria; Pseudomonadati; Bacteroidota; Sphingobacteriia; Sphingobacteriales; Sphingobacteriaceae.
ACGGGUGCGUAACGCGUAUGCAACCUACCUUCAUCAGGGGGAUAGCCCGGAGAAAUCCGGAUUAAUACCGCAUAAAAUCACAGCACUGCAUAGUGCAAUGAUCAAACAUUUAUGGGAUGGAGAUGGGCAUGCGUGUCAUUAGCUAGUUGGCGGGGUAACGGCCCACCAAGGCGACGAUGACUAGGGGAUCUGAGAGGAUGGCCCCCCACACUGGUACUGAGACACGGACCAGACUCCUACGGGAGGCAGCAGUAAGGAAUAUUGGUCAAUGGAGGCAACUCUGAACCAGCCAUGCCGCGUGCAGGAAGACUGCCCUAUGGGUUGUAAACUGCUUUUAUCCGGGAAUAAACCACAUUACGUGUAAUGUGCUGAAUGUACCGGAAGAAUAAGGAUCGGCUAACUCCGUGCCAGCAGCCGCGGUAAUACGGAGGAUCCAAGCGUUAUCCGGAUUUAUUGGGUUUAAAGGGUGCGUAGGCGGCCUGUUAAGUCAGGGGUGAAAGACGGUAGCUCAACUAUCGCAGUGCCCUUGAUACUGAUGGGCUUGAAUGGACUACAGGUAGGCGGAAUGAGACAAGUAGCGGUGAAAUGCA